GUCUCCCCUUCCUAUGAGAGCUCCCAGCACUGCAGAGUGCUCAUGCUGGACCGGAGUGCUGGUGGGGGGGAGGUACCCCCAGAGAGCAGGGGUUCUGGAGUCAGCGACGGCUGGGUUCAAAUCCUCGGUGCACCACUCACUGGCCAUGUGACUCUCUGGACUCAGUUUCCACAUACGUAAAACUGAGGUAGAAACUGCCAUCUUGCAGGGUGUUCAACAGGACGGGCAGCAAGACAUAAAUUCAAUAUAAAUUCCCAGGCACACAGUAGUUGCAAAUAGUUGCUGAGCAAACAGUGGUUUGCUGUUACUACUAGUUUUACCGAUGCCAGCCAGAAAAUCUUUCGUUUUCAAAGUUUUAUAUCUUUAAAGUGAAUUAAUCUCUAACUACUUUGGCUCUGUAAGUUUCCAAUUUGUUUCCUUAAAGCAGAGAGUACCUACACUGAAUUAAUGCAUCUCCACUAGAGUUUGCCUCUGAACGAUUACAUGGAUAUGUGACGGAGGUUAUGAUAAGCUCCUGGAGAACGAAUGUCAUUCCAAAUACCCUUCUGUAGAUUCAAAAACACCUUGCACCAUACUGAGCCUGAUAAAUACUUGCUGAAAUCAUGAAUGAAAAAUCCGCCACUUGGUAUCAUGUAGAGAAAUGGGUCACUAACCUAUCCUCCUAUUAACCACAACCUAAACUUCAACUCAACUUAUUCCUACUCAAAACACUACCUUCUGGGACACCUGGCUGGCUCAGUCAGUGCAGCAUGCAACUCCUGAUCUCAAGAGUUGUGAGAUCGAGCCCCAGGCUGGGCAUAGAGAUUACUUUCAAAAUAAAACCCUUAAAAACAAACAAACAAACGAAAAAACAAACUACCUUCCUUCCUUUCUCUCCACAUGCCUCAUGAGAAUUAUCUCCAGACUCCACUGAGUCCUAAAUCACCUCCCUUCUUUGGAUGUCUGAAGCAUUUAUUGAUUAUACUACCAUGUGGGCACUUAAUACAACAAUGCCUUGGACUCUUAACUGUUUCACGCAGAUAGUUUAUACAUCUCCAAGUAUGUUAGAAGCUUCUGGAUGACAGGAACUGUGUUUAUGGAUUUUUUUUUUUUUAAAGUAUCUCCGUAUCCUGGCACAUAAGUGAAUAAGUGACCUCUAUAAAGUGUGUAUUUCAGGGCCUGGCACCAAAUACGAGCCUGAAAAUGUAAGCUUAAA
Long non-coding RNA from Acinonyx jubatus (cheetah), 1195 nucleotides. RefSeq lists it as uncharacterized. The transcript is spliced from 3 exons. NCBI's taxonomy places the organism in Eukaryota, Metazoa, Chordata, Mammalia, Carnivora, Felidae. The record is from RefSeq and is a predicted model, not a curated record.